GAUGGGAGAAAACUAAGUUAAUGGUGGAUGCCCUGGCAGUUUGAACCGAAGAAAGACGUGUGCUUAAGCACGAUAUCAACGAUAAGUCCUUUAGCAGACAUUAUCAAUCGUUGGUUUCUGAAUGGAGCAAUCCGUUUCGAUGUAAAUCGAGAUAUCAAAUACCUUUAUGGUAUUUGAGGGGAACCCGGAGAACCGAAACAUCCAAGUAUCCGGAGGAAAAGACAUCAUAUGAGAUUCCGUCAGUAGCGGCGAGCGAACGCGGAGGAGCCUAAACUUGAGCGCAAGCUUAAGGGUUGCAGGACCACAGUAGGGAUGUAUAUUUUGUAGGAGAACAGCAUGGAAAGGCUGGUCAUAGAGAGUGAGAACCUCGUAUCUGAAACAAAAUAUACCCCGGUGGGUUUCCUAAGUACCACGAGGCACGGCAAACCUUGUGGGAAUCUGGGUCGGUCACGAUCCAAGGCUAAACAUUCAAACUAACCGAUAGUGAACUAGUACCGUGAGGGAAAGGUGAAAAGUCCCCCGAGAGGGGCGUGAAAUAGAACCUGAAACCAUUAACUAUCAAACAGAGAGAGUCCCUCGGCGCAAGCCUCGGGAUGAUCUCGUGCCUAUUGAAGAAUGAGUCAGCGAGUUAUCGAUAUCUGCUUAGUGCUUAACCAAGCUUAGCUUGGGAAGGCAGAGCGAAAGCGAGUCCUAAUAGGGCGAUCAAGCGUAGAUAUCGGUUAACCCGAAACUGGGUGAGCUAACCAUGAGCAGGGUGAAGUUUGCCGAAAGGCAGAUGGAGGCCCGAACUCGUCGUCGGUGAAAUGGCGUGAGAUGACUUGUGGUUAGGGGUAAUAUGCCAAUCGAACCCAGAGAUAGCUGGUUCUCCCCGAGAUAUAUUUAGGUAUAGCCUAUUCAACUACCUUGUGAGGUAAAGCGACUGGAUAGUCCCCGGAGCCUUUGGCUUUGUGGAUUAACCAAACUCUGAAUGCGCAAGGCUUAUUGAGUAGAGUCAGUCCCGCUCGGAUAAGCGAGUGUGGGCGAGAGGGAAACAUCCCAGAUUCCCGAUUAAGGCUCCUAAAUGACUUUUAAGUGGGAAAGGUCGUUUGUUUUCCAACACAGCAGGAAGGUUGGCUCAGAAGCAGCCACCCUUUAAAGAGUGCGUAACAGCUCACCUGAAUAGUCCCCCGAUUCGGGGGAUGGAAGACAUGCGCCUAAAAUGAUUCGGAGCUCAAAAAGUCUGCCGAAAUCGGAAAUUCUUUACCGAGGAACCUGGUCGGACAAGUUGGACCCUUUUGUGGUUUUGGCUUGCCGUCCGUGUUCCUUGGUAAAGAGUGGUAGGGGAGCAUUCUUGUUGCAGUGAAGCUAUGGUGUAAACCGUGGUGGAGCGGCAAGAAGUGAGAAUGCUGACAUAAGUAGUGAUUUCUCCCGAUGAAAAUUCGGGAUGCCGAAUACUCAAGGUUUCCUCAGCAACGUCAAUCGACUGAGGGUUAGUCGGAUCUAAGCGUCCGCCGCAACAGGCGGAGGCGAUGUACAUGCUGUUAAUAUUCAGCUACUGUAUGUAAAACGUUAUUACUUGAUUUGUGACGAAGUGUGAUAAUUCAGGCCUCCUAUAUGGGGGUUUAAACUGCAAGGUCUCACCGCAAGGUGGGAGCAAACAGUGAUGUCGAGUUUGCCGCAAGGUGGACAAGCUGAUUGGUUUAUGCUUCCGGGAAAAACUUUUCAAGGAGUUUUACGUAUAUCCGUACCGACAUCCAACGCAGGUGAGUUGGUGGAGAACACCACGGCAUUCGAGUAAGGACGAUUCAAGGAACUCUGCAUAAAAAACUGAGCGUAAGCUUUGCAAGAUGCUCUGGCCAACGCAAGUUGGCUUUCAACAAAAGUUUAUCAGGCAACUGUUUAACUAAAACACAGGUUCCUGCUAACCCCAAAAGGGGAUGUAUAGGAGCUGAUGCCUGUCCAGUACUGGUAAGUUAAUCAUUGGGACUGAUGUAAAGCGAGCAAUCUCUUUACCUAGGUUCUGGUGCAAGCUCCAGUGAACGACAGCUCUAACCCUGAGAGUUCUAAGGUAGCGUAACCCCUUGUCGGGUAAGUUCCGACCCGCAUGAAAGGUAUAAUGACUUGAUAACUGUCUUGAAUCGUUGCUCGACGAAGUUGAAAUGGCUGUGAAGAUGCGGCCUAUCUGCACCUGGACAAAAAGACCCCGAGAGCUUUACUGAAACUAGACAUUGGGGAGAUGAAAGUAACUGUUGAGCGUAGGAGGGAGGGCUUGCCCGUCAAUGAAACACCUCUCUUUGCUUUUAUCUCACCUUAUCUUUCCCUUUUGGGAAGGAGACAGUGUUUGGCGGUCAGUUUAACUGGGGCGGUUUCCUCCAAAAAGGUAACGGAGGAGCGCAAAGGUAAGCUUAUUCCGGAUGGAAAUCGGAAUGUAAGUGUAUACGCAUAAGCUGGCUUGACUGUGAGGAUGACUAUCCGAACAGAUGCGAAAGCAGGCGUAAGUGAUCCCCCAUCCCGAAGUGAUUUCGGGAGGGGCUUAACGGAUAAAAGCUACCUCGGGGAUAACAGGCUGGUGACGCCCGAGAGUUCAUAUCGACGGCGUCGUUCGGCACCUCGAUGUCGGCUCACCGCAUCCUGGAGCUGUAGUCGGUUCCAAGGGUUGGGCUGUUCGCCCAUUAAAGCGGUACGCGAGCUGGGUUCAGAACGUCGUGAGACAGUUCGGACUCUAUCCGGUGCAGACGAUUGGAUUUUUGAGGGGAGUCUUCCACAGUACGAGAGGACCUGGAAGAGGAGAUCCCUGGUGUACCAGUUGUCCCAAAAGGGCACCGCUGGGUAGCUACAUCUCCCUUUGAUAAGCACUGAAUGCAUAUCAAGUGCGAAACAAACCCCAAGAUUAGAAAUCCGUAUAGAUUACCAGAAGAAUACUGGUUUGAUAGGCGCUCGAUGUAAGUCCUGUAAGGGAUUUAGUCAAGGCGUACUAAAAUCAAUCUCCCAUCUC
Candidatus Roizmanbacteria bacterium is the source of this 2974-nucleotide non-coding RNA. NCBI's taxonomy places the organism in Bacteria, Candidatus Roizmaniibacteriota. The record is from Rfam.